AAAUGAGCAAAUAUAUGGCAUGAAUAAUAAAGCAGAGAAUGGGUUGAAAGCAUGUGAUGGCACAUUGAUGAGGAAACUAUUUUCAAAGUCAUAUCUAGAAUAAAUAGUAGUUAAAGAAUAAUUUCAUAAAUAAAAGAAAACAGCAUAGGCUUCUUUCAAUUGAAAGCAAUAAAUUUGAAUAAAAUAAAUAUUCACAUAAGCAGGAUGAGAAUUCCAGUUUCUAACCCCAAUACCAAAACAGAUACUCAGUGGAAUUAAAUAGAUUUUCAUAACAGGGAAUUUUUAGAAUCAUUUGGAAAAGACAA
Molecule: long non-coding RNA, 305 nt
Organism: Pipistrellus kuhlii (Kuhl's pipistrelle)
Lineage: Eukaryota; Metazoa; Chordata; Mammalia; Chiroptera; Vespertilionidae
Exons: 2
Source: RefSeq, a predicted model, not a curated record